UCGGCUAUAGUAUAUCGGAUAGUAUGCCAGUCUGUCACAUUGGAGAGCCGGGUUCAACUCCCGGUAGCCGAG
Non-coding RNA from Ramicandelaber brevisporus, 72 nucleotides. The record is from the annotation of a GenBank genome assembly. Lineage: Eukaryota; Fungi; Kickxellomycota; Ramicandelaberales; Ramicandelaberaceae.